Molecule: long non-coding RNA, 1617 nt
Organism: Lolium rigidum
Lineage: Eukaryota; Viridiplantae; Streptophyta; Magnoliopsida; Poales; Poaceae
Exons: 3
Source: RefSeq, a predicted model, not a curated record
GGACGACGCUCUUCCCGGCGCUGUGCUCUGCUCCCACCAGCCACUCACCUUCCUCGGCCUGCGCCGCACCGGCACUUGAGGUAACCAUUCAUAGGCUGGUCAAAUCAUGUCAAGUUCAUUUGUCUGCAGACUUUUCAGGUUAUAUUGUUGCUCAACCAUUUAUAGAGUUAGUGUCUCUUGGAAGUAUCUCUUUCUUGCAUACGGUUGACACUACUAUCAUUAGCAAAUAACAUUAGGCAUUGCCAUGUGGCAUAGAAAAAUGAAACAACUGAGGUUAAUCUUCUUUCUGUUCCAGAUACAUCCAAUCAAAACCUUCAGGUUUUCAGCUUUCUUUUUUAUUUUUAGAUCAAAUGAUGGAGAGGUCUCUUGGGUUGCUCAUGCAAAUAUUUGUGAAGCUGUUCCUCACCAUGGAGGUUGACGUGAUCAUACUUUGCUUCAUCUUCAGAGAAGGCCAUGAGGAGUCCAGUAUGAGAAGUUGAUGCUCAUAUUUCCACUAUUUAGUUGUGCAGCUAUAUGAGUACUGGUACUAAUAAAAAAAAAGCUAAUUUUGUUUCUUCUAUGGGUGAUACAGUCAGGAGAUUGUAUGACAUUGCAAAUGUGUUGUCUUCACUGAAGCUCAUUCACAAGGUAGGCUACAAUAAAAUUACUGACAAGCCGGCUGCACUUGAGUGUUAAGCGAUGUUUCUGAAUCUGUUCUUGAAUCUUGUCAGUCCGAUAGGUACCGAGCGGCUCGAUAAUAUUAUGUCAUAUUAAGCGUUGAACAGCUAUAUGCAUCUUUUUUUUUCUUAUUGCUCGCUUCUAGAGGUUGCAAGUACUAACAUUAUAUGUGUUCCAUGAAAAAUAGUGUUCCAUGCAUAUGUGUGAUUUUGAAAUACUAGCUGUAGGAUGCAUCUAUUUUCGAUAACUUCACUGCAGGAGUCUCCUACUGCUUAAUGGAUUGAAGAAAAUAGGUAGUUACAACAUUUAGAUAGCUGCAAUCUUGGGCAUUUUAGUUUCGUAUUCUUAUCAGUUUAUUUUGUCAGCGUGUCUUCACAUCGGCAUCUGAUUCAGUUCCUGCGAACAGGGGAAGAAGAUGCUAGAAGCUUUGGCGCCGGGAACUCUUCCACGACUGCAUGUUAUAUUGACAGCAAUAGCUGCUUGAUGCGUCUGCUUGAGCGAUUUAGCAUGGCGUGGAGAAAACAAGAUGGAAAGGAUUAAUGAUUGUGUCCAUGAGUGUGCUUUGUUGCUGGUUGGGGAUAUUCUUUGGAGAGGAGACUCAUCAGCUCCUGUAUUGUUGAUAUGAUAGGUAUUUCCAUCUUUUGCUGAUACACAUCUAUGUUAUGGGUGCCUGGUUAGUUAUUUUUUCUCCCUUCAAUGUUGGUAUAAUGAGGACAUGCAAAAUAUGGGUUUAAUUUCUGAGAUGAAAAUUUGGUGUGGAUGGCCAUGUCUUUUUUUUUUUGCGGGUAGUGUGGAUGGUGUCUACCUCCCUUUCAGAACCCCCUCGCGGACAUCCAUGUCGCGAGAGUGUGUCAAUGUGCGUGUAGUGCUGCGAAUCGUGGAGGGACAGGUGCAUGGGGAUGACACGAGUCGGUGGGAAUGGGAAUUGGUAUGUGAAGCGACUAUCCUUGCUGCUUGGGG